GAUGAACGCUAGCUACAGGCUUAACACAUGCAAGUCGCGGGGCAGCAUGGGGGUUGCUUGCCACUCCCGAUGGCGACCGGCGCACGGGUGAGUAACGCGUAUCCAACCUGCCCUUCACCACGGGAUAACCCGGCGAAAGUCGGACUAAUACCGUAUGUUGUCCAUUGACGGCAUCCGAUUUGGACGAAAGGCUUUGCGGUGAAGGAUGGGGAUGCGUCCGAUUAGCCAGACGGCGGGGUAACGGCCCACCGCGGCUACGAUCGGUAGGGGUUCUGAGAGGAAGGUCCCCCACACUGGAACUGAGACACGGUCCAGACUCCUACGGGAGGCAGCAGUGAGGAAUAUUGGUCAAUGGGCGUAAGCCUGAACCAGCCAAGUAGCGUGCAGGAUGACGGCCCUAUGGGUUGUAAACUGCUUUUAUGCGGGGAUAAAGUGGCCCACGUGUGGGCUUUUGCAGGUACCGCAUGAAUAAGGACCGGCUAAUUCCGUG
This 490-nucleotide ribosomal RNA is filed under the name uncultured bacterium. RNAcentral describes it as "partial 16S ribosomal RNA". It matches the Rfam family "Bacterial small subunit ribosomal RNA", at positions 28 to 507 of the family's 1533-position model. The record is from RNAcentral.